GGGUCGGUGGCGUAGCUGGUUAUCGCAUCUGUCUAACAUGGUUUUGGAGCAAUACCUACACAGAAGGUCCUCAGUUCGAACCUGGGCCGACUCA
Non-coding RNA from Armillaria fumosa, 94 nucleotides. Lineage: Eukaryota; Fungi; Basidiomycota; Agaricomycetes; Agaricales; Physalacriaceae. The record is from the annotation of a GenBank genome assembly.